UGGGUACUACGGGACGCAGCAGUGAGGAAUAUUGGGCAAUGGAGGAAACUCUGACCCAGCCAUGCCGCGUGAGUGAAGAAGGUUUUCGAAUUGUAAAGCUCUUUCGGAUGUGAAGAUGAUGACGGUAACAUCUAAAGAAGCCCCGGCAAACUUCGUGCCAGCAGCCGCGGUAAUACGAAGGGGGCAAGCGUUGUUCGGAAUUACUGGGCGUAAAGGGUGUGUAGGCGGGAAAGUAAGAUAGUGGUGAAAUGCCUGAGCUCAACUUGGGAACUGCCAUUAUAACUAUUUUUCUAGAG
Molecule: ribosomal RNA, 296 nt
Filed under: uncultured bacterium
Lineage: Bacteria
Description: partial 16S ribosomal RNA
Rfam family: Bacterial small subunit ribosomal RNA
Source: RNAcentral